AGCGAACGUUUGCGGCGGGCCUAACACAUGCAAGUCGAACGCACUAGCAAUAGUGAGUGGCGCACGGGUGCGUAACACGUGGGUAAUCAACCCUUCAGCCUGGGAUAACGACUCGAAAGGGUCGCUAAUACCGGAUACGGCGCGAGAGGCUUCGGCUUCUCACGAGAAAGCCACGCAAGGGGCACUGAAGGACGAGCCUGCGGCCCAUCAGCUAGUUGGUGAGGUAAGAGCUCACCAAGGCUAAGACGGGUAGCUGGUCUGAGAGGAUGAUCAGCCACACUGGAACUGAGACACGGUCCAGACUCCUACGGGAGGCAGCAGUGGGGAAUAUUGCGCAAUGGGCGAAAGCCUGACGCAGCCACGCCGCGUGAGCGAUGAAGGCCUUGGUCGUAAGCUCUGUGGGAGGAGACGAAGAAAGACCUGUGAAGAGCAGG
Molecule: ribosomal RNA, 434 nt
Filed under: uncultured bacterium
Lineage: Bacteria
Description: bacterial SSU rRNA
Rfam family: Bacterial small subunit ribosomal RNA
Source: RNAcentral